UACAGAGGGUGCGAGCGUUAAUCGGAAUUACUGGGCGUAAAGCGCGCGUAGGCGGCUAUGUAAGUCGGAUGUGAAAUCCCCGGGCUUAACCUGGGAACUGCAUUCGAGACUGCAUGACUAGAGUAUGGGAGAGGGCAGUGGAAUUUCAGGUGUAGCGGUGAAAUGCGUAGAUAUCUGAAGGAACAUCAGUGGCGAAAGCGACUUCCUGGACCAAUACUGACGCUCAUGUGCGAAAGCGUGGGGAGCAAACAGG
Molecule: ribosomal RNA, 253 nt
Filed under: uncultured bacterium
Lineage: Bacteria
Description: partial 16S ribosomal RNA
Rfam family: Bacterial small subunit ribosomal RNA
Source: RNAcentral